AGAAGAGUAUGAGCGGAAGCGGCAGCUGCCAGCUCUGAGACGCUGAGUGCUUUCUUUUCCACCUCUUAAGCAAUUGUCCUUGGCCAUGAGAAUCCCAGAUAGCGGGGAGUCCUUCAGCUGGACACAGAAAGAACAGACAUGGGAGGCAGCUGUGUGUGACCCAGAACUUGGAGGCCAGCCCAACCCGGCUAACCCACAGACCCCGGGUGAGAAAUGAAAUGUUCACUGUUAUGCAUGCGACCACUUGAGGAACAUGAAGAUAAGCGUAUCUGAGCAGCCUUGGAGAAUGGAUACGAAGUGGUCACCUCAGUGUUUUCGGAGCAGAGAAGAGCUGGAUCUUCUAGUCUGCAGGCGUCGGCCUUCUGGGAUCACCUAGGAUAGAUGGGGUCUACAGCCAUCUUUGUCCCUGGCAUGACCUCCUCAUCCCAGUGAUGGAUGGAUUGGGCUGUGAUCUUGGUAUUUGACCCACAUCUCCCUUUAACCUGUGAUGGAUGGCCACUGGCUGUGCACAUAUCUCCUCAAAGCAGAGGCAACAACCAACCUGUCAUCUAAAAGGGGAGAUUUGUGACUGUUAGCUACAAGAAGUGUUUUUACAGAGGGAUAAUUGGUUGCUGGGGUGACAGCCACACCACAGCUGUCAUGGGCUUCAGACCAUUAUAAUGGGGAGGACCGAUCAGAGUGGCUCUGUCCUGAUGACAGACAUGAAGCUGUUCCAUCGUGGUGGACCAGGAAGCUGAGAAUGAGCAAAACCAAGGGCUGGGCCGGGACAUGACUUUUACCAACCCAUAUCUUAAAGACUUCACAGCCUGUCAACGUGGAUGCCUGCCAGGGGACAAGCAUUCAAGACACGAACCAGAGGGGGCAUUUCAGAGUGUUUCCCACCGUUUAUUUGAAUGAGAAACAGGGGCAGUGCCCUCAUUGCGGCACAAGUUGUAUUUUUGCCAUUCUUACUUUUCUGAGAGCUACCUGUGUCCUUCUGGAACAACAUGGGCAUAAAUAAACGAUAGCUUAUUUUAUUUUAUGCA
Mus musculus (house mouse) is the source of this 1025-nucleotide long non-coding RNA. RefSeq annotates it as predicted gene, 57688. The transcript has 3 exons. NCBI's taxonomy places the organism in Eukaryota, Metazoa, Chordata, Mammalia, Rodentia, Muridae. The record is from RefSeq and is marked validated.